This 398-nucleotide ribosomal RNA is filed under the name uncultured Rhodoferax sp. RNAcentral's name for it is "bacterial SSU rRNA". It matches the Rfam family "Bacterial small subunit ribosomal RNA", at positions 983 to 1382 of the family's 1533-position model. Lineage: Bacteria; Pseudomonadati; Pseudomonadota; Betaproteobacteria; Burkholderiales; Comamonadaceae. The record is from RNAcentral.
GACAUGCCAGGAACUUGCCAGAGAUGGCUUGGUGCCGAAAGGGAGCCUGGACACAGGUGCUGCAUGGCUGUCGUCAGCUCGUGUCGUGAGAUGUUGGGUUAAGUCCCGCAACGAGCGCAACCCUUGUCAUUAGUUGCUACAUUCAGUUGGGCACUCUAAUGAGACUGCCGGUGACAAGCCGGAGGAAGGUGGGGAUGACGUCAAGUCCUCAUGGCCCUUAUAGGUGGGGCUACACACGUCAUACAAUGGCUGGUACAAAGGGUUGCCAACCCGCGAGGGGGAGCUAAUCCCAUAAAGCCAGUCGUAGUCCGGAUCGUAGUCUGCAACUCGACUACGUGAAGUCGGAAUCGCUAGUAAUCGUGGAUCAGAAUGUCACGGUGAGUACGUUCCCGGGUCUU